This 165-nucleotide signal recognition particle RNA is filed under the name Anaerolineae bacterium. RNAcentral describes it as "signal recognition particle sRNA large type". It matches the Rfam family "Bacterial large signal recognition particle RNA". Rfam says of the family: The signal recognition particle (SRP) is a universally conserved ribonucleoprotein involved in the co-translational targeting of proteins to membranes. Archaeal SRP consists of a 7S RNA and homologues of the eukaryotic SRP19 and SRP54 proteins. The record is from RNAcentral. Lineage: Bacteria; Bacillati; Chloroflexota; Anaerolineae.
GGGCUAACAUUUCAAACACGAUGCGUUCUCUGCAUAGAGGUCGGUCUGGGCCUUGCACGGCAGGGUCUCCGAACCAUGUCAGGACCUAGCGGUAGCAGCAUUAAGGGGAAUACCCUGGGUGUUGCAAGAUCACCUGGGCUGACCUCUAUGCAGAGAACUUGGCCU